AACGAACGCUGGCGGCAGGCCUAACACAUGCAAGUCGAGCGCCCAGCAAUGGGAGCGGCAGACGGGUGAGUAACGCGUGGGAACCUUCCCAAUGGUACGGAAUAGCUCAGGGAAACUUGAGGUAAUACCGCAUAAGCCCGAAAGGGGAAAGAUUUAUCGCCAUUGGAUGGGCCCGCGUAGGAUUAGCUAGUUGGUGAGGUAAUGGCUCACCAAGGCGACGAUCCUUAGCUGGUUUGAGAGAAUGACCAGCCACACUGGGACUGAGACACGGCCCAGACUCCUACGGGAGGCAGCAGUGGGGAAUCUUGGACAAUGGGCGCAAGCCUGAUCCAGCCAUGCCGCGUGAGUGACGAAGGUCUUCGGAUUGUAAAGCUCUUUUGCCAGGGACGAUAAUGACGGUACCUGGAGAAUAAGCCCCGGCUAACUUCGUGCCAGCAGCCGCGGUAAC
RNAcentral lists this ribosomal RNA (448 nucleotides) under uncultured bacterium. RNAcentral describes it as "bacterial SSU rRNA". It matches the Rfam family "Bacterial small subunit ribosomal RNA", at positions 29 to 524 of the family's 1533-position model. The record is from RNAcentral.